Molecule: ribosomal RNA, 429 nt
Filed under: Pseudomonadota bacterium
Lineage: Bacteria; Pseudomonadati; Pseudomonadota
Description: Proteobacteria bacterium partial 16S ribosomal RNA
Rfam family: Bacterial small subunit ribosomal RNA
Source: RNAcentral
UGGGGAAUAUUGGACAAUGGGCGAAAGCCUGAUCCAGCCAUGCCGCGUGUGUGAAGAAGGUCUUCGGAUUGUAAAGCACUUUAAGUUGGGAGGAAGGGCAGUAAGCGAAUACCUUGCUGUUUUGACGUUACCGACAGAAUAAGCACCGGCUAACUCUGUGCCAGCAGCCGCGGUAAUACAGAGGGUGCAAGCGUUAAUCGGAAUUACUGGGCGUAAAGCGCGCGUAGGUGGUUCGUUAAGUUGAAUGUGAAAGCCCCGGGCUCAACCUGGGAGCUGCAUCCAAAACUGGCGAGCUAGAGUAGGGCAGAGGGUGGUGGAAUUUCCUGUGUAGCGGUGAAAUGCGUAGAUAUAGGAAGGAGCACCAGUGGCGAAGGCGACCACCUGGGCUCAUACUGACACUGAGGUGCGAAAGCGUGGGGAGCAAACAGG